UAGGGAAUCUUCCGCAAUGGACGAAAGUCUGACGGAGCAACGCCGCGUGAGUGAAGAAGGAUUUCGGUUCGUAAAACUCUGUUGUUAGGGAAGAAAAAAUGUAUAGUAACUAUAUACAAAAGAGACGGUACCUAACCAGAAAGCCACGGCUAACUACGUGCCAGCAGCCGCGGUAAUACGUAGGUGGCAAGCGUUGUCCGGAAUUAUUGGGCGUAAAGCGCGCGCAGGUGGUUUAGAAAGUCUGAUGUGAAAGCCCACGGCUCAACCGUGGAGGGUCAUUGGAAACUAAUAAACUUGAGUGCAGGAGAGAAAAGUGGAAUUCCUAGUGUAGCGGUGAAAUGCGUAGAGAUUAGGAGGAACACCGGUGGCGAAAGCGGCUUUUUGGCCUGCAACUGACACUGAGGCGCGAAAGUGUGGGGAGCAAACAGG
Molecule: ribosomal RNA, 429 nt
Filed under: Verrucomicrobiota bacterium
Lineage: Bacteria; Pseudomonadati; Verrucomicrobiota
Description: Verrucomicrobia bacterium partial 16S ribosomal RNA
Rfam family: Bacterial small subunit ribosomal RNA
Source: RNAcentral